GCUUAGCCUUAAACCUUGAUAUUAUUUCACAUUUACUAUCCGCCCGGGAACUACGAGCACUAGCUUAAAACCCAAAGGACUUGGCGGUGCUUAACAACCCCCUAGAGGAGCCUGUUCUAGAACCGAUACCCCUCGUUAAACCUCACCCCUUCUUGUUUUUCCCGCCUAUAUACCGCCGUCGUCAGCUUACCCUGUGAAGGAACACUAGUAAGCAAAAUUAGCAAAGCCCAAAACGUCAGGUCGAGGUGUAGCAAAUGAAGGGGGAAGAAAUGGGCUACAUUUUCUGGUACCAGAAUAUACGAAAAGUGUACUGAAACGUACACUAGAAGGAGGAUUUAGUAGUAAGAAGGAAAUAGAGCGUCCUUCUGAAGCUGGCCCUUAAGCGCGC
RNAcentral lists this ribosomal RNA (388 nucleotides) under Ophioblennius atlanticus. RNAcentral's name for it is "partial 12S ribosomal RNA". It matches the Rfam family "Bacterial small subunit ribosomal RNA", at positions 794 to 1384 of the family's 1533-position model. The record is from RNAcentral. Lineage: Eukaryota; Metazoa; Chordata; Actinopteri; Blenniiformes; Blenniidae.